This is a non-coding RNA of Lactuca sativa (garden lettuce), 1531 nucleotides long. The record is from RefSeq and is a predicted model, not a curated record. NCBI's taxonomy places the organism in Eukaryota, Viridiplantae, Streptophyta, Magnoliopsida, Asterales, Asteraceae.
UGUUACAGCAAUGUUUAGGGACAUCAAAUGGAGGUCGAGGUUAAGUGACAUCCCUCCUCACUUUGUGCUGGAGAUGGCGGUCUGGAUAACAAGACUUCCUCCUACAUACCGAAUAAGACAAUGAUAUUCAAACACCAAUACCAUGACACUUAUUCCUACUGUCGCCACAACUCUUCAUCUCCGAUUCCUCAGAGGUAGCUUCACCUGAUUCUGGGGCGCCAUCAUGCCUGCCUCAUGCUUCGCUGUGCUGGACGCUUUAAAUAGGUGUCGCACUAAUUUAAAUUCUUUCAAUUCUAAAAUCCACAAAAGCUCAUAUUCAUCUUCCUGGUUAGGUGUUUCUGAUGACUUAAAGCUCUGUUACUAAAGGGUCAAAGAUUUGAAUGUUGAAGUUGAAAACCACCAGAUGACGCUCAUGAAAGUCAAAGUAAAAAAAAUGAAACGUGUGAGGGUGAUAAAGAAUGAAGGUCCUGAAGCCAAAGAAUAAUGGUCGAUGUAGCCACCAACCACUAGCAUGAUAAGGAACCAGAGAAUUCAACUAUCAGUUGUUUUCUUUGGCGAAUUUGACCAAAUAUGUUCAAGGUCAUGAUGAAGAUUGUAUGAUAUUUCUGUUGAUAAGUUUGAUCAUAUCUGUAUAUUUGUAUUGUCUUUUCUGAAAAAGCCGUAAUUGGUUUUUCUGAGGCAUGAUUUACAAUUUGGAUUGAUUGAAUUUUCCAACCCACAUAUACAUAUUCGCUUCUCUAUCUCAUAUUUCUCUUUUUAUUUUUCCUUCUUAGAUGAUGAUGGGCAUUGUUUCAAGGAAAGCUUUGCAAGUCGAGUUAGCUCAACCAUUAUUUAGAAAAGUAUUAGUAAAUUACCCAGUCAAUUGCACCUUUCCCAAAAUGUUGAAGCUCGUUGUGUCAUUUAUUACUUUUCUAUUUGGGGUAUGUUGGAUGAUAUAAUCAACAAUGAUUUAGCUCUUAUUGCAAGUUUAGAGAGAUUGUGAAGUGAGAUCUGAAAGCUUGAAAUGUUGACAUUUAACAGAGCGUCAUCUCCUUAUAAUGUAAGAGUUGAGAAGAGCUAUUAAUCUUUGAUAGGACAUCACAAACCAUUGUCUCUCUUUGUUUCUUGAUUAAAUAUGGUUUAAACUGGGGAAUAAAAGUUUCAAAUUUACAAGUUCAAGGGAAGCUAUGUUCGUUAUUGACCUCUUCAACAAUGUUACAACUCCAAAAAUCCUCAACUUCUAGGAUUUCUAAUAUAAUCACCUGUUAUUCUAGAUGCCUCAUUUGGUUUAGCCUCUUUGUUGAUUGAAGUCUAUAAUAGACUGUUGUAGGUGAAUGUUUCAGCAGGAACUUCAUGAUCCUUAUCAUCGUUUGUUUUAAAUUCUCAGAUGUAGCCCCCUUAAAAGUUAAAUCCAAGAUAUAAUGGCAACAUCUGCCAAUUAACCAUUGGGACUAAAGGAAGACAAGGUGAUGUUGCUUCUUUCUCUUUACCCCUGUUUCUUUUGCCUUCUUCAAGAUAUAAUGUUAUAGAUUAACUUGUGUUCUUUCAUUUA